AGGAAAAUCCGAAAGUGUGAAAAAAGGAAAAUAAAAAAUAAAAAAAAAUCAAAGAGAUGAUCUGAAGAAGAUAUGGUUUAAAAGACAAAUCUGCCAUUAAAUUGCUGAUGAAGAUGUAAGAUAUUCCACUUGCAGUUUAAUCAUAUCAUCGAUUUUAUCAAAAAGAACACCGAUGAUCAUAAAGGAUACUCUUCAUGGCUGCAUUACUCUCAUUCUCUCUGAAUCUCUACUCAGAUCCACAGACCCACCAAAGGUCACUAUUUUUUUCAUCUUCUCCAAAUAAUCCUAUCAAACACCCAUUUUUCCCUUCUCAGAAGACUCAAUGUUUCCGCUUCAAAUCCUCAUUCUCUUCACACUCCUCUUCUUCUUCUCCUUCAACAACAGAAGAAUCACCUACUGCUUCUCCUUCUUCUACUUAUUCAAAUCUUGAAGAUUCUUUCAAAACAGGAAGCUUUUUAAGCAAUGAAGAGCUCGAAAAGCUUAAAACCCUUGAAAAGUUUACGUAUUUUCAAGAAUUAAAAACUGGGUCUUUGUUGGUUAGAGUGAUGAGGCCAGAGGAGAUGGAUAUCACAGUGAAAUUACUAGCUGAAUCUUUUGCCGAGUCUAUGUUAUUGCCUGUUGGGUAUGUAUCUUUGUUGAGAUUCUUGGUGAAGCAGUACUUGAUUGAGAGAAGAGCGGUGAUGCCACAUGCUGUUACACUCGUUGGUUUUUAUAUAGGGAAAGAUGAAGGUAAUAAUGGAGAUGGUGAAGAGGAAGAGGAGAUGUUGGCAGGGACGGUGGAAGUGUGUUUUGAUAAAAGGGGUGCUAAUGCUUCUCCUCCUACGCCAGUUCCUCCUAAGAAUUCUCCUUAUAUUUGUAAUAUGACUGUUAAGGACUCACUUCGUAGGAGGGGCAUUGGUUGGAAUCUUUUGAAGGCAAGUGAGGAACUGAUUUCUCAAAUGAGUUGCAAAGGAGAGGUGUACUUGCAUUGCAGAAUGAUUGAUUCGGCUCCCUUCAACAUGUAUAUAAAAGCAGGGUAUGAUGUUGUUAAGACAGAUAGUAUAUUGAUCCUGCUGAUGUUGCAGAGACGUAAGCAUUUGAUGUGCAAGAAACUUCCAGUCUUAGAUGACCCUUCUGAAGUCAAUUUGUCAGACUCUACAUGAAAGUUUCUUCACAAUUCAAUUGACAGAUGCCGUAACAUGUGUUUCUAAGGUGCAUGCUAACUAUUGCAAAUUUGGAUUCUAGGACAUUGUCACACCAAGUUGUGGUGAUCAUUAAAUCAGGGUGAUUAUGGCCAGAAAUUGCUGAUUCUGUGAGAACUCCUUGCUUGUAAUUUAUCAUAAUUGUGGUAGAAACAUGUUGUGUAAAAGGUAAUUGCAUCAGGUACCUCCAUUUCUUACUUGCCUCAAAAUUAUGUGGAACAUGCAUAUGUUGAAAAAAUUAUUUGAGCUUGAGCUUGUACGGAUAGGAAAGAUAUAAGAGAAAAAGAAAAGAUAUCUGAGGGAAGACCAAAUAGUAUAAGAUUUAUUGCAAAAAGAAAACAUGUUUCCUGUCUUUGAGAAGUAUAUCUUAUAGAUUAAUCUUUAACAAGUGAAGAAUAAAAAAUCUUUUUUAAGAAUUCUUGAUGCUACACUGAGCCAUACAUACAAGUGUAUGUUUCUUUCUGACUGCAAUCCUCUUACUUUCUACUCUUAUGGUUCAUGUUCUUUGCCAUGAAAUCCUCCUCCUAGAUCUUCAUUGAGUUUCCUCUGUGUAACUGCUAAAGUGCUAGGGUUCACCUUCUUCAUGGAUCCUUUUCGAUGUUGUAUCAUUAAACUUAUAGGUUCCCUUUCUUCCAUUUUGAAUCACCAAUUGAAGGAAAUUUAUUAUUGAUAUAAUACAAUUUGUCUCUGCUGAUAACCAAUCAGGUUCUAUUAGACCUUUUUGAAUGAAUGCAAUGCCGUACCCAAAGCUUUUGAAUUUAUAUAAAUUAUCAUUUGGAGUUCUUUUACACAUUCAGUCAUUGAGGGUCUCUCACUGCUCUCAAUACGAACACAGCGAGAUGCCAGGUUUGCAAACAUGGCUAUGGAUUCCAUUGUGUAUGAACUCCGACUUAGCUCUGGAUCUAGCAUCUUACGCAACUUCUUCCGAUCAUUCAAUAUAUGCCUAACCUGAAACAAAAGGAUUAUUCAUUUACUACUGCCAUCAGUAUCGUGAUUAGUGUUCUAGUGCCCUUUUUAAUUUGAUAAGACAAUCUAUAUCAAAUAAGAAGAGAUACAACCACCUGUAGUACAAGGUUUUGAUCGCUUGAUCCCUGGCUCAAGUCCACAGCUCUACGUCCUGUCAAAAGCUCAAGAAGAACCACUCCAAAUGCAUACACAUCACUUUGUAAAGUGAGUUUCCCUGUCUGUCACAAAAGGCAGAUGAACUAGUGUUUACAUCUCACUCUAUACAAAUUAAGUAGAAACACAUAAGGACCUGAAAACAAUGAUUCUCCCUGCAUAUUAACAUGAUUGGUAAACUGGUUAAGAUAAUAGACAGGGGCUACAACUUUGAGUUUUGGUUAGUUCAGUAGUUGUCAGAGAGUGGUGUUCCUUAUCUAUUAAACAGCAAACUAUUAGUUUCUUGACUUUGUCUAUAUAUUACUGAAUCAAUUCUGUAGCCAAGAGUUUAGGCCAGCUUAGGCUUUCGUUGCCUGGUGAUUAUUUGUUCCUAGGCAGGAUAAUCUUACAUGGUUAAAUGUCAUUGCAUUGUUCUUCAAAAAUAAUAAAGUUGACAAAUUCAGGUAAGCUUGAGAUUGUAGUUGCUAGUUCACCCAGAACUACAACCAAAGGCAACAAUGCAAGGACGACACUUUUCAUAUUAUAUUCGUGUUGGAUUCUGGUUGCUAGGAUCUAGGAAGCCAAUAGACCUGUUUUAAGUGUGGUUUUAGACAGUUACCAACAUGUUUGGAUAUUUGUCUUAAGUUAGCAAAGCAGUUCCUAGCAAGUACUCUAGGGAUGGCAGAAUUGAGAAAUUACCACUUUAAUUGUGCACUGCAUCUGCUUCUAGGCAACGUGUAUUUUCUAGCUUCACAUAGCAUUAUACAUGGGCUUACCUUAUCAAACACGUAAAUGACAAUGAUAGCUUUGGGUCUGGUCAUGAACUUAUAAUAGUUUCAUGUCUAUCAAGCAUCAUAUUUUCUAGUUCUUAGCUGCCUAACUGUUGCUGAUGCUUCCAUAAACUUGCAAGCUAAAAAUAGCCCAGUUAUCUUGAUGAGUGAGUUAUAACAUCUUCUGCUCUAUUCUUAGACCUAUGAAUUAGGGAAAUUUAAAUGUUUAGGAGAUUAUAGUUAGUAAAGGAACAAUGGGCUCUAGCAUUCAUGAAAUGACACAAAAUUCUGAUUAGACAGUUCCAAUUGCUCUUCAUACAUUUCCAAAUUAGAAAUGAAACAAAGAUGCAUACCGAAGUAUACUCUGGAUCAAAAUAGCCAAAUGUGCCAAGAACCCUAGCUGUCACAAAUGUCUCCUGACCUUCUGGCAUCAACUUGGCAAGUCCAAAAUCAGAUAUCUGUGAAGAAUAAGAAUACAAGUUUAGUUGCAAGUAAACUUUAUUGGUCUUAUCAAUUAUUCGUUAGCUGUAGUUUUGAAGAAAGUGUCCUAGUUUAAGGGAGCAAAACUUUAAAUAGAAUUAGAAGAGCCUUGCAGUUGCUUACCUUAGCUUCAAAAUUGGCAUUUAGGAGAACAUUGGUGGAUUUAAAAUCUCUGUGAACAAUAGGUAUUCCGACUGCAGAGCUUGAGUGAAGAUAAGCUAGUCCCCUUGCUGCUCCAAGUGCCACUUUGAGCCUCAUAGGCCAAUCCAUUUUUUCUUCUCCAAUUCCUAAAAAUAGUUACAGAUAUUAGAUGUAACAAUGUAAUAAGCUUGACUGUAGAUUUGGAUUUUGCGUGAUACCCACCAUUUAAGUGAUCUUGCAGAUUCCCCUUUUGCAGAUACUCAUACACCAGAAACCUGUGCUUCCCAUCAGCGCUAUAUCCUAUCAAGGAAACCAGAUUUGGGUGGUCAAGUCGGCUCAAGAUAUCAACUUCAACGCGAAACUCUCUUUCUCCUUCAGCUUCUUUAAACGAUGGCAACUCCAUUUUCUUGAUUGCUACAACCUUCAUAUUGUAGAGAGGAAAAAUAAAUUUAUUUGUGAUCUUGUAACUGGGUUAGUGAUUGUUAACCUCUUUACGCUUUUCUUUUCCAUAAUCAGGAGUUUAACUGAUUCACCAAGUUUUUGUGCUGAUGAAAUAGCAUUGAAGCUGUACGUCUA
RNA transcript from Ricinus communis (castor bean), 4246 nucleotides. RefSeq lists it as uncharacterized. The record is from RefSeq and is a predicted model, not a curated record. The transcript has 3 exons. NCBI's taxonomy places the organism in Eukaryota, Viridiplantae, Streptophyta, Magnoliopsida, Malpighiales, Euphorbiaceae.